CAGCCGCCGCGGGAAUACGGAGGGUGCAAGCGUUAAUCGGAAUUACUGGGCGUAAAGCGCACGCAGGCGGUCUGACAAGUCAGAUGUGAAAUCCCCGGGCUUAACCUGGGAACUGCAUUUGAAACUGUCAGGCUGGAGUCUUGUAGAGGGGGGUGGAAUUCCAGGUGUAGCGGUGAAAUGCGUAGAGAUCUGGAGGAAUACCGGUGGCGAAGGCGGCCCCCUGGACAAAGAUUGACGCUCAGGUGCGAAAGCGUGGGGAGCAAACAGGAUUAGAUACCCGCGUAGUCCCUGUCUCUUAUAA
Molecule: ribosomal RNA, 301 nt
Filed under: uncultured bacterium
Lineage: Bacteria
Description: partial 16S ribosomal RNA
Rfam family: Bacterial small subunit ribosomal RNA
Source: RNAcentral